AACGAACGCUGGCGGCAUGCCUAACACAUGCAAGUCGAACGAGACCUUCGGGUCUAGUGGCGCACGGGUGCGUAACGCGUGGGAAUCUACCCUUGGGUUCGGAAUGACAGUUAGAAAUGACUGCUAAUACCGGAUGAUGACGUAAGUCCAAAGAUUUAUCGCCCAAGGAUGAGCCCGCGUAAGAUUAGCUUGUUGGUGGGGUAAUGGCCUACCAAGGCGACGAUCUUUAGCUGGUCUGAGAGGAUGAUCAGCCACACUGGGACUGAGACACGGCCCAGACUCCUGAGGGAGGCAGCGGUGGGGAAUAUUGGACAAUGGGCGAAAGCCUGAUCCAGCAAUGCCGCGUGAGUGAUGAAGGCCUUAGGGUUGUAAAGCUCUUUUACCAGGGAUGAUAAUGACAGUACCUGGAGAAUAAGCGCCGGCUAACUCCGUGCCAGCCGCCGCCGUAA
RNAcentral lists this ribosomal RNA (449 nucleotides) under uncultured bacterium. Its description in RNAcentral is "partial 16S ribosomal RNA". It matches the Rfam family "Bacterial small subunit ribosomal RNA", at positions 29 to 523 of the family's 1533-position model. The record is from RNAcentral.